AUCUCGGAAGCUAAGCAGGGUCGGGCCUGGUUAGUACUUGGAUGGGAGACCAGGUGCUGUAGGCAUAAA
RNAcentral lists this microRNA precursor (69 nucleotides) under Pteropus vampyrus (large flying fox). Its description in RNAcentral is "miRNA (ENSPVAG00000030142.1)". Lineage: Eukaryota; Metazoa; Chordata; Mammalia; Chiroptera; Pteropodidae. The record is from RNAcentral.